GUUUUUUGCGUAGUCGGCGGGACGUGAGUAAUGCGCACAGGCCGCCGAGGGACGUGGCGACACGCGUUAAAUAGAGUGAGUAGCGGUGUGGAGGUGUCGUGACGCGGAUUAUCCGAGGGGAGAGAGGAACGAGAAAGAACGGGGUCGGUGGCCUCGAGCUGUACGGGACGACGCUCUCCGCUACCGAUCACGACGCUCCGCUGCCCGUAGUACCAACGCCCCGCUACCGUCGAAGGCCGCUGCGCGACGAGAGGGAAGAGAUAGGUCUUUCGGGUGUUUGCCGAACCGCAGCGGGGCGGUGCGGAUCUCACGCGCUGGUCUCGGUCGUCGUAGCUGUGGUCAUUGCUCGCGGUGCCUCCGCUUCGAAGGCUGGGCCGGUUAGGUGACGGCGAGGCGGCGCAACAGCCGAUCCGGCGGCGCGAUGGUAGCCUCGAAGUACCGGCGCCCGUGGAAGUAGGCAACGGUGUGCGGCGGACCCGAACGGGUGCAAGGCUAGAUCGGCCGUUUGUAUGACUAGGCAAAGGGGGCACAGGCAGGGUCCGGAAAGAUGGAGCGACCUCAGCAGUUCCGCGGCCGUGAGAGGUGGUUCAGUUGACGUAGCACGGGUACGAGGCAGAGCUCUCCUCGUCGCUCGAUCGUGGGCGGAGACGUAGCUCGUGACGAGCUAGGCUGACGUAGCGGGUUCCGGGUGAGGCGGCGGCGGAACGAGGCGGGAGCGGCAGGAGGGCGGCCUCCAGCGGCGGCUGUACUUGCGGCUUCUCCUCCGUCCGCCGGACUACCCUCUAGCGGCCGCACCGGGAGCAGCCGCCGCCAGAGGCCGCCCUCCGCGCCUUAGCCCGCCAGCCCGCGCCAGCAGAGACCGCCCACCGCCGCGUCUCCCCUUUAACCUUCACCUAGUGGACCGCUUGGUAAAAAAUGAACGACCUGACGCCCAACUUAUGGAGUUUGUCAUCCCCCAAAUACAUUUUUACGGCUACUGCAUGCCCGUCUUUGAGUUAAGAGAAAUAAUAAUUAUAUAUAUAUAUAUAUAUAUAUGUAUGUAUGAUCGUUUUCUCGGGCACGCAACGUUGCCCCUGUAUGAAGCGAUACUUCGUUUGUUUUAUAGGUACCUAGUAAGGUCGGACUUGCAAGAGUGACUUCUUAAUGUAGUACCCCCGUACUAUCGGCUUCCUAGCCGACUGUAAGCCCCAAGGACAAGCGCCUACCGUACCGUACCUAGUAUCACGUGUGCCGGUUACUGUUGUGUUCCUACUACCUGUUAUAGUCCUCCAACUCCCUUAGGCCUACUCACCUACCAACACUCAUUAACUUUAAAAAGAGUGACUCACGCUGUAUCCAAACGCCACCAGUCACAUCUAACUUGCCACUUUAAGUAGUAGAUACUACGUACCAAGCUGGAGAAGAAGCAGACUUACCUAAGAGGAACAGCUAGUUAGAAACACUCCACUCAAAUUGUCGUAAGCUACCACUGUAUUCUGCCGUUAAAUCCACCUCAGACGGAUGGAUCUUCUUUAUCUCGUCUUCUCCUCGGCACCAACAAGAAGAUGAAUAUGAAUAUCCUCCUUCUAAUAUGAAUAUCCUCC
RNAcentral lists this ribosomal RNA (1583 nucleotides) under Triticum aestivum (bread wheat). RNAcentral's name for it is "partial small subunit ribosomal RNA". The record is from RNAcentral. Lineage: Eukaryota; Viridiplantae; Streptophyta; Magnoliopsida; Poales; Poaceae.